Molecule: non-coding RNA, 73 nt
Organism: Megalops atlanticus (tarpon)
Lineage: Eukaryota; Metazoa; Chordata; Actinopteri; Elopiformes; Megalopidae
Source: the annotation of a GenBank genome assembly
AGCUCUGUAGCAUAGUGGUAAGGAGCAGGGCUAAUAACCGAAAGGUUGCUGGUUUGAUUCCCUGCCGGGGCAC